This 240-nucleotide unclassified non-coding RNA is filed under the name soil metagenome. RNAcentral describes it as "partial contains 5.8S ribosomal RNA, internal transcribed spacer 2, and large subunit ribosomal RNA". The record is from RNAcentral.
AACCUUAUGGACCUGCGGGCGUAUACCUGCGGAAGGAUCAUUAAAAAGAGUGUGUACCCCCCUGUAAAAUGGGUGGGUUACCUCCCGUCCUUUGUUGACCUCUUAGGAGGUUAUUUUGAACUUUUCUGCUUCGGUGGGGUUAAACCUACCGGAACACCCUCAAAUUCUGAUCAUUUAAAAAUUGUUCAGUCCGAUUUUUGUUAAUAAAAACAAAAAACUUUCAGCAACGGAUCUCAGAUC